GACGAACGCUGGCGGCGUGCUUAACACAUGCCAGUCGAACGGAAAGGCCCUGCGUUUGUGGGGUGCACGAGUGGCGAACGGGUGAGUAACACGUGAGUAACCUGCCCUUGACAUUGGGAUAACUUCAGGAAAAUGGGGCGAAUACCGGAGAGGAGCUCUUGCUGCAUGGGGGGGGUUGGAAAGUUUCGGCGGUGGGGGAUGGUCUCGCAGCUUAUGCGCUUGUUGGUGGGGUAGUCGCUUUCCAGGGCUUUGACGGGUAGCCCGCCUUGGAGGGGGACCGGCCUCAAUGGUACUGCGGGACGGCGCAGUCUCCUACGGGAGGCAGCGGUGGGAAAUAUUACGGAGUGACGGGGAGCCUGAUACAACGGCGCCGCGUGCGGGAUGACGGGUUUCGGGUUAUAAACCACUUUCGCCUGUAACGUGGCCGGAGUGACGGUAAUGGGUAAGAAAGCACCGGCUAACUACGUG
Molecule: ribosomal RNA, 468 nt
Filed under: uncultured bacterium
Lineage: Bacteria
Description: partial 16S ribosomal RNA
Rfam family: Bacterial small subunit ribosomal RNA
Source: RNAcentral